This 350-nucleotide transfer-messenger RNA is filed under the name Candidatus Faecalibacterium faecigallinarum. RNAcentral describes it as "Faecalibacterium faecigallinarum Standard tmRNA". It matches the Rfam family "transfer-messenger RNA". Rfam says of the family: Bacterial tmRNA, also known as 10Sa RNA or SsrA, is named for its dual tRNA and mRNA-like properties. The record is from RNAcentral. Lineage: Bacteria; Bacillati; Bacillota; Clostridia; Eubacteriales; Oscillospiraceae.
GGGGGCGUAAAGGUUUCGACGGGGGGAGCGAGGCCUGGGCAGCGGGUAGCAGCGGGGGACCUGCUCUAAAAUCCUCCAAAACAAUAACUGACAACAAUCGUUAUCAGCUCCAGGCAGCCUGAGUGCUGCCUCGUUCCGCCCACAUUUGUGUCGUGUGGGGCCGGGGCGUCCUUUAGACACAGCACGUGAACGGACCUAAGCUUUGCGGACCGUCAUGAACUUAUGAAGCUACUGAAGCGUUAGCCUGGCGACCGGCGUGACGCAGAGGGAAUGUCGUUGAUCGCCUGCACCCGGAGAUACUCACGCUGAACUCUUUUCGGACAUGGGUUCGAUUCCCAUCGCCUCCACCA